GUUAAUGUAGCUUAAUUUAAAGUAUAGCACUGAAAAUGCUAAGAUAAAGUUUAAAAACUUUCAUAAGCA
RNAcentral lists this transfer RNA (69 nucleotides) under Bathyraja parmifera (Alaska skate). RNAcentral describes it as "tRNA-Phe". It matches the Rfam family "tRNA". From Rfam's summary of the family: Transfer RNA (tRNA) molecules are approximately 80 nucleotides in length. Their secondary structure includes four short double-helical elements and three loops (D, anti-codon, and T loops). Lineage: Eukaryota; Metazoa; Chordata; Chondrichthyes; Rajiformes; Arhynchobatidae. The record is from RNAcentral.